This 301-nucleotide ribosomal RNA is filed under the name uncultured bacterium. RNAcentral's name for it is "partial 16S ribosomal RNA". It matches the Rfam family "Bacterial small subunit ribosomal RNA", at positions 509 to 807 of the family's 1533-position model. The record is from RNAcentral.
CAGCCGCCGCGGGAAAACGUAGGUGGCAAGCGUUGUCCGGAAUUAUUGGGCGUAAAGCGCGCGCAGGUGGUUUAAUAAGUCUGAUGUGAAAGCCCACGGCUCAACCGUGGAGGGUCAUUGGAAACUGUUAAACUUGAGUGCAGGAGAGAAAAGUGGAAUUCCUAGUGUAGCGGUGAAAUGCGUAGAGAUUAGGAGGAACACCAGUGGCGAAGGCGGCUUUUUGGCCUGUAACUGACACUGAGGCGCGAAAGCGUGGGUAGCAAACAGGAUUAGAUACCCCCGUAGUCCCUGUCUCUUAUAC